UAGUUGGUGGGGUAAAGGCCUACCAAGGCGACGAUCUGUAGCGGGUCUGAGAGGAUGAUCCGCCACACUGGGACUGAGACACGGCCCAGACUCCUACGGGAGGCAGCAGUGGGGAAUAUUGGACAAUGGGCGCAAGCCUGAUCCAGCCAUGCCGCGUGUGUGAAGAAGGCCUUAUGGUUGUAAAGCACUUUAAGCGAGGAGGAGGCUACUGAAGUUAAUACCUUCAUAUAGUGGACGUUACUCGCAGAAUAAGCACCGGCUAACUCUGUGCCAGCAGCCGCGGUAAUACAGAGGGUGCAAGCGUUAAUCGGAUUUACUGGGCGUAAAGCGCGCGUAGGCGGCUAAUUAAGUCAAAUGUGAAAU
Molecule: ribosomal RNA, 363 nt
Filed under: Acinetobacter calcoaceticus
Lineage: Bacteria; Pseudomonadati; Pseudomonadota; Gammaproteobacteria; Moraxellales; Moraxellaceae
Description: bacterial SSU rRNA
Rfam family: Bacterial small subunit ribosomal RNA
Source: RNAcentral